RNAcentral lists this ribosomal RNA (490 nucleotides) under uncultured bacterium. Its description in RNAcentral is "partial 16S ribosomal RNA". It matches the Rfam family "Bacterial small subunit ribosomal RNA", at positions 30 to 507 of the family's 1533-position model. The record is from RNAcentral.
AUUGAACGCUGGCGGCAGGCCUAACACAUGCAAGUCGAACGGUAACAGGAAGACGCUUGCUUCUUUGCUGAUGAGUGGCGGACGGGUGAGUAAUGUCUGGGAAACUGCCUGAUGGAGGGGGAUAACUACUGGAAACGGUAGCUAAUACCGCAUAACGUCGCAAGACCAAAGAGGGGGACCUUCGGGCCUCUUGCCAUCGGAUGUGCCCAGAUGGGAUUAGCUAGUAGGUGGGGUAACGGCUCACCUAGGCGACGAUCCCUAGCUGGUCUGAGAGGAUGACCAGCCACACUGGAACUGAGACACGGUCCAGACUCCUACGGGAGGCAGCAGUGGGGAAUAUUGCACAAAGGGCGCAAGCCUGAUGCAGCCAUGCCGCGUGUAUGAAGAAGGCCUUCGGGUUGUAAAGUACUUUCAGCGGGGAGGAAGGGAGUAAAGUUAAUACCUUUGCUCAUUGACGUUACCCGCAGAAGAAGCACCGGCUAACUCCGUG